AUUGAACGCUGGCGGCAGGCCUAACACAUGCAAGUCGAGCGGAUGAAGGGAGCUUGCUCCUGGAUUCAGCGGCGGACGGAUGAGUAAUGCCUAGGAAUCUGCCUGGUAGUGGGGGAUAACGUCCGGAAACGGGCGCUAAUACCGCAUACGUCCUGAGGGAGAAAGUGGGGGAUCUUCGGACCCCACGCUAUCAGAUGAGCCUAGGUCGGAUUAGCUAGUUGGUGGGGUAAAGGCCUACCAAGGCGACGAUCCGUAACUGGUCUGAGAGGAUGAUCAGUCACACUGGAACUGAGACACGGUCCAGCCUCCUACGGGAGGCAGCAGUGGGGAAUAUUGGACAAUGGGCGAAAGCCUGAUCCAGCCAUGCCGCGUGUGUGAAGAAGGUCUUCGGAUUGUAAAGCACUUUAAGUUGGGAGGAAGGGCAGUAAGUUAAUACCUUGCUGUUUUGACGUUACCAACAGAAUAAGCACCGGCUAACUUCGUG
This 484-nucleotide ribosomal RNA is filed under the name uncultured bacterium. RNAcentral describes it as "partial 16S ribosomal RNA". It matches the Rfam family "Bacterial small subunit ribosomal RNA", at positions 30 to 507 of the family's 1533-position model. The record is from RNAcentral.